RNAcentral lists this long non-coding RNA (1540 nucleotides) under Homo sapiens (human). RNAcentral describes it as "HSALNT0310017". The record is from RNAcentral. Lineage: Eukaryota; Metazoa; Chordata; Mammalia; Primates; Hominidae.
GUGUUUUCCUGGUUUUUCAGAGCUGAGAAGUGAGCUGUCUUCCAACUCACCUGCAUAGGUGGAAGUCUUCCCAGAUGCUGUGCUUGAAUCUCUAAUUUGAUAUAUUUACAAGACUUGCAGAGGCUGUGAGCUGUGUGAAUACAUUGCACAUAAGAACUACAGAUGUUUUAAAGCCUUCUGUGAAAGUGAUUCUGAAGGUGUGGUCCCUGGGCCAGCAGCAUCAACAUCACCUGGAACUUGUGAGAAAUGAAGAUUCUCAGGCUCUUCUCUAUACCUACUGAAUCAGACAUUGGGUGCAAAGGGGAACACUACAGUCUGUCUUUAAGGAGCCCUCAAGAACCAGCAAACAUCACAGAAUUCACUAUAUUCUCUACAAAAGAAACUUUGGUAUUUUGUCAAGAUGAUACUAUAACAAUGAAAUGGAGAGUUCUACUUCCAGUUAUUAAUUACCCAAACAUAUUUCAUAUAACUAAUCAACUUUGCAUGGAAUGCUAAGAUAAUGACGUUUUUCUCUGCUCUAUCUUUAUGAAGCCAGGAACAGUAAUUGCACAGAAGAAAUCCGAUCUCUGUUGGGAUGAUUAGACACUAAAUAUCAUCCUGCAGAUAAUUAAUUGGUACUUCUCAAUCAGAGGUAAAAUUUUGUCCUGAUGACUCUAAACUUUAGCCAGCUUCUGUGUUGUAUCCCAUGACUUCCAACUCGCAGCAUCCCAACAGAUCGCAUCAUCUUCAGAGGCAGAAGUGAUGGCAGUAUAGCACAAUCAAACUAAGCUGGCCAAGAAUAUAUCCUUUACCUAAACCUGAAUCUUUCUACUCCUUAGAGACCAUCCAGUAUUUGAAUUUUGGUUGGGCUAAGAUAUUAAAGAUUCAUUAGUAUCCAAAGAAUUUGGGAAUCAGAAAGAAGCUCAGAACCCAUGUGGUCCAACUCCCCUAUUUUACAAAUUGAUUAUUUAUUCAACUCAUGUUUACUGAGAACCUGUUAUAUGCUGUACAGUGCUGAGGAUACAAAUUCUCAUGCCUUUCAGGAGAUUUUAGUGUAGUAGUAGCAAAUGACAAGAAUAGAGAUGCCUUAGAGCCCUGGCAAUGUGAGGGUUGGGUGGCAGGGGGCUUAAUGGAACACAAUGAAUAGGCAUUCCAUGCACAUUUUGGAGAUUUAGAAAAUGUCUUUGUUAAGUACGGGGAAAGAUACAAAAGAAAUAGAAGAUAGCAACUCAAAAGGAUUAGAAUUAAGGCCCCAGGGAUAAAGGGACUUGAAUUAAAUAUCUAAGAACUAGACUGUUUGAAUCUAACCUUUCCCUCUUCCCAGCUCCUUGACAGAGGCAAAAGGAUGUUGUCAUUAGACCCGCGCAGCAUUUGCCUUACCAAGAGCCUGGCCAGGGCUGUAAGAAUCCGUGUAGCUAGCAUGAAGGAUCAGGCGAGAAGGAAAAACAUAUGCAAGCAAUUUUUGGUGGAUGCUACUGUGGUUUGUGUAGUACAGCCUAUAUGUGUCAUGGAAUUCAAGGAAAUAAAUAGACAAAUGGGCAAGGACAUGUAGUUGGCUCUU